GAUGAAGAACGUAGCGAAAUGCGAUACGUAAUGUGAAUUGCAGAAUUCAGUGAAUCAUCGAAUCUUUGAACGCAUAUUGCGCUCUCUGGUAUUCCGGAGAGCAUGCUUGUUUGAGUAUCAGUAAACACCUCAACUCCCUUUUCUUUUUUGAAAUGGGAGCUGGACUUGAGUGAUCCCAACACUUUUCUCACUGGAAAGUGGCGGGUCACUUGAAAUGCAGGUGCAGCUGGACUUUUCUCUGAGCUAUAAGCAUAUCUAUUUAGUCUGCCUAAAAAACAGAUUAUUACCUUUGCUGCAGCUAACAAAAAGGAGAUGAGUUCUUGUGCUGACUGAUGCAGGAUUCACAGAGACAGCUUUGCGGCUGACUUUGUAAACUCGAUCUCAAAUCAAGUAAGACUACCCGCUGAACUUAAGCAUAUCAAUAAGCGGAGGA
This 433-nucleotide unclassified non-coding RNA is filed under the name soil metagenome. Its description in RNAcentral is "partial contains 5.8S ribosomal RNA, internal transcribed spacer 2, and large subunit ribosomal RNA". The stretch from base 1 to 120 matches the Rfam family "5.8S ribosomal RNA", at positions 35 to 154 of the family's 154-position model. The record is from RNAcentral.